RNAcentral lists this ribosomal RNA (824 nucleotides) under uncultured bacterium. RNAcentral's name for it is "bacterial SSU rRNA". It matches the Rfam family "Bacterial small subunit ribosomal RNA", at positions 60 to 890 of the family's 1533-position model. The record is from RNAcentral.
AGUCGAGGGGUAUAGUUCUUCGGAAUUAGAGACCGGCGCACGGGUGCGUAACGCGUAUGCAAUCUACCUUUUACAGAGGGAUAGCCCAGAGAAAUUUGGAUUAAUACCUCAUAGUAUAAUGACUCGGCAUCGAGAUAUUAUUAAAGUCACAACGGUAAAAGAUGAGCAUGCGUCCCAUUAGCUAGUUGGUAAGGUAACGGCUUACCAAGGCUACGAUGGGUAGGGGUCCUGAGAGGGAGAUCCCCCACACUGGUACUGAGACACGGACCAGACUCCUACAGGAGGCAGCAGUGAGGAAUAUUGGACAAUGGGCGCAAGCCUGAUCCAGCCAUGCCGCGUGCAGGAUGACGGUCCUAUGGAUUGUAAACUGCUUUUAUACGAGAAGAAACACUGCUUCGUGAAGCAGCUUGACGGUAUCGUAAGAAUAAGGAUCGGCUAACUCCGUGCCAGCAGCCGCGGUAAUACGGAGGAUCCAAGCGUUAUCCGGAAUCAUUGGGUUUAAAGGGUCCGUAGGCGGUUUAAUAAGUCAGUGGUGAAAGCCCAUCGCUCAACGGUGGAACGGCCAUUGAUACUGUUAAACUUGAAUUAUUAGGAAGUAACUAGAAUAUGUAGUGUAGCGGUGAAAUGCUUAGAGAUUACAUGGAAUACCAAUUGCGAAGGCAGGUUACUACUAAUGGAUUGACGCUGAUGGACGAAAGCGUGGGUAGCGAACAGGAUUAGAUACCCUGGUAGUCCACGCCGUAAACGAUGGAUACUAGCUGUUGGAAGCAAUUUCAGUGGCUAAGCGAAAGUGAAUAGUAUCCCACCUGGGGAGUACGUUCGCA